CUUCUUCGACCUGUUGAGGGCAAAUGUAGUGAACAUGGACAUCGAGGGCACCGGCUGUGACAAUUAGCUUCUCGCCGGCGAUGACUUCUGUAGAGGAGCCAAUGAGGAGGUUAGGGUCCACAUUGGCCAUGACGUCGGGGUUUCCUGCUUUGCCGAUUCCAACAAUCACGCCGUCUUUGACACCAAUGUCUGCCUGAUAACAGGGAACUCGGAUGUCAGUCGAAACGAAGCAUCAGAUGGUAGUUGCUCGCACCUUGUAGAUUCCGGACCAGUCGAUGAUCAGGGCAUUGGUUAUGACAAGAUCUAAGGCGUCGACCGCCGAUACCCCAGUUCCUUGGCCCAUGCCCUCGCGAAU
Molecule: small RNA, 355 nt
Filed under: Coprinopsis cinerea okayama7#130
Lineage: Eukaryota; Fungi; Basidiomycota; Agaricomycetes; Agaricales; Psathyrellaceae
Description: 5' ureB small RNA
Rfam family: 5' ureB small RNA
Source: Rfam by way of RNAcentral